GGUUAAGCGACUAAGCGUACACGGUGGAUGCCCUGGCAGUCAGAGGCGAUGAAGGACGUGCUAAUCUGCGAUAAGCGUCGGUAAGGUGAUAUGAACCGUUAUAACCGGCGAUUUCCGAAUGGGGAAACCCAGUGUGAUUCGUCACACUAUCAUUAACUGAAUCCAUAGGUUAAUGAGGCGAACCGGGGGAACUGAAACAUCUAAGUACCCCGAGGAAAAGAAAUCAACCGAGAUUCCCCCAGUAGCGGCGAGCGAACGGGGAGCAGCCCAGAGCCUGAAUCAGUGUGUGUGUUAGUGGAAGCGUCUGGAAAGGCGUGCGAUACAGGGUGACAGCCCCGUACACAAAAAUGCACAUACUGUGAGCUCGAUGAGUAGGGCGGGACACGUGGUAUCCUGUCUGAAUAUGGGGGGACCAUCCUCCAAGGCUAAAUACUCCUGACUGACCGAUAGUGAACCAGUACCGUGAGGGAAAGGCGAAAAGAACCCCGGCGAGGGGAGUGAAAAAGAACCUGAAACCGUGUACGUACAAGCAGUGGGAGCACGCUUAGGCGUGUGACUGCGUACCUUUUGUAUAAUGGGUCAGCGACUUAUAUUCUGUAGCAAGGUUAACCGAAUAGGGGAGCCGAAGGGAAACCGAGUCUUAACUGGGCGUUAAGUUGCAGGGUAUAGACCCGAAACCCGGUGAUCUAGCCAUGGGCAGGUUGAAGGUUGGGUAACACUAACUGGAGGACCGAACCGACUAAUGUUGAAAAAUUAGCGGAUGACUUGUGGCUGGGGGUGAAAGGCCAAUCAAACCGGGAGAUAGCUGGUUCUCCCCGAAAGCUAUUUAGGUAGCGCCUCGUGAAUUCAUCUCCGGGGGUAGAGCACUGUUUCGGCAAGGGGGUCAUCCCGACUUACCAACCCGAUGCAAACUGCGAAUACCGGAGAAUGUUAUCACGGGAGACACACGGCGGGUGCUAACGUCCGUCGUGAAGAGGGAAACAACCCAGACCGCCAGCUAAGGUCCCAAAGUCAUGGUUAAGUGGGAAACGAUGUGGGAAGGCCCAGACAGCCAGGAUGUUGGCUUAGAAGCAGCCAUCAUUUAAAGAAAGCGUAAUAGCUCACUGGUCGAGUCGGCCUGCGCGGAAGAUGUAACGGGGCUAAACCAUGCACCGAAGCUGCGGCAGCGACGCUUAUGCGUUGUUGGGUAGGGGAGCGUUCUGUAAGCCUGUGAAGGUGUGCUGUGAGGUAUGCUGGAGGUAUCAGAAGUGCGAAUGCUGACAUAAGUAACGAUAAAGCGGGUGAAAAGCCCGCUCGCCGGAAGACCAAGGGUUCCUGUCCAACGUUAAUCGGGGCAGGGUGAGUCGACCCCUAAGGCGAGGCCGAAAGGCGUAGUCGAUGGGAAACAGGUUAAUAUUCCUGUACUUGGUGUUACUGCGAAGGGGGGACGGAGAAGGCUAUGUUGGCCGGGCGACGGUUGUCCCGGUUUAAGCGUGUAGGCUGGUUUUCCAGGCAAAUCCGGA
Molecule: ribosomal RNA, 1502 nt
Filed under: Shigella flexneri
Lineage: Bacteria; Pseudomonadati; Pseudomonadota; Gammaproteobacteria; Enterobacterales; Enterobacteriaceae
Description: partial 23S ribosomal RNA
Rfam family: Bacterial large subunit ribosomal RNA
Source: RNAcentral